GGACGAUAGCUCAAUGGCAAAGCAUCCGCUUCACACACAGAAGGUCUCAGGUUUGAUCCCUGGCAUCACCA
Molecule: non-coding RNA, 71 nt
Organism: Podarcis lilfordi (Lilford's wall lizard)
Lineage: Eukaryota; Metazoa; Chordata; Lepidosauria; Squamata; Lacertidae
Source: the annotation of a GenBank genome assembly